RNAcentral lists this ribosomal RNA (900 nucleotides) under uncultured Actinomyces sp. Its description in RNAcentral is "bacterial SSU rRNA". It matches the Rfam family "Bacterial small subunit ribosomal RNA", at positions 334 to 1243 of the family's 1533-position model. Lineage: Bacteria; Bacillati; Actinomycetota; Actinomycetes; Actinomycetales; Actinomycetaceae. The record is from RNAcentral.
GACUCCUACGGGAGGCAGCAGUGGGGAAUAUUGCACUAUGGGCGAAAGCCUGAUGCAGCGACGCCGCGUGAGGGAUGACGGCCUUCGGGUUGUAAACCUCUUUCAGUAGGGAAGAAGCGAAAGUGACGGUACCUGCAGAAGAAGCGCCGGCUAACUACGUGCCAGCAGCCGCGGUAAUACGUAGGGCGCAAGCGUUAUCCGGAAUUAUUGGGCGUAAAGAGCUCGUAGGCGGUUUGUCGCGUCUGCCGUGAAAGUCCGGGGCUCAACUCCGGAUCUGCGGUGGGUACGGGCAGGCUAGAGUGAUGUAGGGGAGACUGGAAUUCCUGGUGUAGCGGUGAAAUGCGCAGAUAUCAGGAGGAACACCGAUGGCGAAGGCAGGUCUCUGGGCAUUAACUGACGCUGAGGAGCGAAAGCAUGGGGAGCGAACAGGAUUAGAUACCCUGGUAGUCCAUGCCGUAAACGUUGGGCACUAGGUGUGGGGGACAUUCCACGUUUUCCGCGCCGUAGCUAACGCAUUAAGUGCCCCGCCUGGGGAGUACGGCCGCAAGGCUAAAACUCAAAGGAAUUGACGGGGGCCCGCACAAGCGGCGGAGCAUGCGGAUUAAUUCGAUGCAACGCGAAGAACCUUACCAAGGCUUGACAUGGGCCGGAUCGCCGCAGAGAUGUGGUUUCUCCUUUUGGGGCCGGUUCACAGGUGGUGCAUGGUUGUCGUCAGCUCGUGUCGUGAGAUGUUGGGUUAAGUCCCGCAACGAGCGCAACCCUCGUUCCAUGUUGCCAGCACGUAGUGGUGGGGACUCAUGGGAGACUGCCGGGGUCAACUCGGAGGAAGGUGGGGACGACGUCAAUCAUCAUGCCCCUUAUGUCUUGGGCUUCACGCAUGCUACAAUGGCCCGGUACAAG